GCCAGUUAGCUAGCCAACCACUUGGAUUAAUACCACAACAUAAAUACCCCCUCACUACUUAGAGAGUAAGAAACAAAUCAUUUUUCCACCUUAGUAUGGGAGACAGAAAGGGACAUUUGAGCAAUAGAGAAAGUACCGCAAGGGAAAGCUGAAAGAGAAAUGAAACAACCCAUCUAAGCGCCUAGAAGCAAAGAUUAGCUCUUGUACCUUUUGCAUCAUGAUCUAGCUAGAAUACUCAAGCGAAGAGCACUUUAGUUUGAGCCCCCGAAACUGGACGAGCUACUCCGAGACAGCCUAUUAUAGGGCCAACCCGUCUCUGUUGCAAAAGAGUGGGAAGAGCUCCGAGUAGAAGUGAAAUACCUAUCGAGUCUAGUUAUAGCUGGUUGCCCAGGAAAUGAAUAGGAGUUCAGCCCCCCAACUUUUCAAGUCAUUAAGACCCUACUUUUGUUGAUUCCGAGAAGCUGAGGGAGUUAGUCGAAAGAGGUACAGCUCCUUCGAACCAGGACACAACCUUACCAGGCGGUUAAGAAUCAAAGUAACUUAGGUUAGCUGCUUCAGUGGGCUUAAGGGCAGCCAUCUGAAUCGAAAGCGUUAAAGCUCAGGCAGCGACCGCCCACUUAUUCUGAUAGAGUUUUCUACCCCCUACUAUUACUGAGCCAUCCCACGCCUCCGUGGGAAUGACCAUGCUAGAAUGAGUAAUAAGAGGGGUUACCCCCUCUCCCCGUACACGUGUAUGUCGGACCGGACCCCCCACCGAUGAUUAACGAACCCAACUGUUAGAGGGAAAUUCAAGCUUAACUAGAAACGAGAAGAGCCUGAUCCACAACAUCGUUGACCCUACACAGGAGUGCUUGAGGAAAGACCUAAAGGAAGAGAAGGAACUCGGCAAACAUGAGCCUCGCCUGUUUACCAAAAACAUCGCCUCUUGAAUAUUUUACAUAAGAUGUCCCGCCUGCCCGGAGCCUCUGGGUUAAACGGCCGCGGUAUUUUAACCGUGCGAAGGUAGCGCAAUCACUUGUCCUUUAAAUGAAGACCUGUAUGAAUGGCUAGACGAGGGCUUGACUGUCUCCUCUCCCCAGUCAGUGAAAUUGAUCUCCCCGUGCAGAAGCGGGGAUUGUAGCAUAAGACGAGAAGACCCUAUGGAGCUUUAGACACUAGACAACCCACGUCAAACACCCUUAGUCUGCUAGGAGAGAACAUUGUGGCCCUUGUCUCACCUGUCUUCGGUUGGGGCGACCGCGGAGGACAAAAAGCCUCCAUGUGGACUGAAGUAACUACCCUUCACAGCUCAGAGCCGCGGCUCUACGCAACAGAAAUUCUGACCAAAAAUGAUCCGGCACAUGCCGAUUAACGGAACAAGUUACCCUAGGGAUAACAGCGCAAUCCUCUCCCAGAGUCCCUAUCGACGAGAGGGUUUACGACCUCGAUGUUGGAUCAGGACAUCCUAUUGGUGCAGCCGCUAAUAAGGGUUCGUUUGUUCAACGAUUAAAGUCCUACGUGAUCUGAGUUCAGACCGGAGCAAUCCAGGUCAGUUUCUAUCUAUGACAUACUCCUCCCCAGUACGAAAGGACCGGGAAGAGGGGGCCCAUGCUCGAGGCACACCCCACCCCCACUUGUUGAAAUCAACUAAAACAAGUAAGGGGGCAUACCCAGCUCGCGUCAGAGAUUGGCGCCCGCAUCUCAACGUGGCGGUAACCGGCGUGCCGGGGCCUUCCGGCCUUGCCUUCU
Molecule: ribosomal RNA, 1728 nt
Filed under: Retropinna retropinna (cucumberfish)
Lineage: Eukaryota; Metazoa; Chordata; Actinopteri; Osmeriformes; Retropinnidae
Description: 16S rRNA
Rfam family: Bacterial large subunit ribosomal RNA
Source: RNAcentral